This is a non-coding RNA of Pelobates cultripes (western spadefoot toad), 104 nucleotides long. The record is from the annotation of a GenBank genome assembly. Lineage: Eukaryota; Metazoa; Chordata; Amphibia; Anura; Pelobatidae.
CACAGCAUGGGAAAGUUCAAUUUUCCCACGCUGUGUAAAAUGACACAGAGCACUGUGAUUGGAUGGCUUUCAAGCGUGGGAAAGUUCAAUUUUCCCAUGCUGUG